GUUGUCGUGGUCAAAGGUUAAAGCGAUAGACUAGAAAUCUUUUGGGAUCUUCCCGCACAGGUUCGAAUCCUGCCGCCAUCG
RNAcentral lists this transfer RNA (81 nucleotides) under Dreissena polymorpha. Its description in RNAcentral is "tRNA-Ser". It matches the Rfam family "tRNA". Rfam says of the family: Transfer RNA (tRNA) molecules are approximately 80 nucleotides in length. Lineage: Eukaryota; Metazoa; Mollusca; Bivalvia; Myida; Dreissenidae. The record is from RNAcentral.